CGCGAGAGUAUUCUAGGCCGCUCGUGUGAUCAAACAGAUCCACUCCAUUCCCGGGAACAUCAUCGAGAUUAGAGGUGGGCUCUCAACUUUAUUCCAAUGGCGGACGGGAGUCCUUUGAAUCUGUAUUGAGGUGCCGAUCGCCGCGUGCACACGCGAAGCAGUGGAGACUCGCAGCAGGACGACCUUAUCGAAGGCCGUUAGAGAUCCAGAACCAUCCGCUGCUGUAUAAUAGCGGU
Danio rerio (zebrafish) is the source of this 236-nucleotide non-coding RNA. Lineage: Eukaryota; Metazoa; Chordata; Actinopteri; Cypriniformes; Danionidae. The record is from Ensembl.